UGGAGCCGACCUUGAAAUACCACCCUUUAAUGUUUGAUGUUCUAACGUGGACCCGUGAUCCGGGUUGCGGACAGUGUCUGGUGGGUAGUUUGACUGGGGCGGUCUCCUCCUAAAGAGUAACGGAGGAGCACGAAGGUUGGCUAAUCCUGGUCGGACAUCAGGAGGUUAGUGCAAUGGCAUAAGCCAGCUUGACUGCGAGCGUGACGGCGCGAGCAGGUGCGAAAGCAGGUCAUAGUGAUCCGGUGGUUCUGAAUGGAAGGGCCAUCGCUCAACGGAUAAAAGGUACUCCGGGGAUAACAGGCUGAUACCGCCCAAGAGUUCAUAUCGACGGCGGUGUUUGGCACCUCGAUGUCGGCUCAUCACAUCCUGGGGCUGAAGUAGGUCCCAAGGGUAUGGCUGUUCGCCAUUUAAAGUGGUACGCGAGCUGGGUUUAGAACGUCGUGAGACAGUUCGGUCCCUAUCUGCCGUGGGCGCUGGAGAACUGAGGGGGGCUGCUCCUAGUACGAGAGGACCGGAGUGGACGCAUCACUGGUGUUCGGGUUGUCAUGCCAAUGGCACUGCCCGGUAGCUAAAUGCGGAAGAGAUAAGUGCUGAAAGCAUCUAAGCACGAAACUUGCCCCGAGAUGAGUUCUCCCUGAGACUUUAGGUCUCCUGAAGGAACGUUGAAGACGACGACGUUGAUAGGCCGGGUGUGUAAGCGCAGCGAUGCGUUGAGCUAACCGGUACUAAUGAACCGUGAGGCUUAACCUUACAACGCCGAAG
Molecule: ribosomal RNA, 762 nt
Filed under: Salmonella enterica subsp. enterica serovar Typhi str. CT18
Lineage: Bacteria; Pseudomonadati; Pseudomonadota; Gammaproteobacteria; Enterobacterales; Enterobacteriaceae
Description: partial 23S ribosomal RNA
Rfam family: Bacterial large subunit ribosomal RNA
Source: RNAcentral